This 485-nucleotide ribosomal RNA is filed under the name uncultured bacterium. RNAcentral describes it as "partial 16S ribosomal RNA". It matches the Rfam family "Bacterial small subunit ribosomal RNA", at positions 28 to 523 of the family's 1533-position model. The record is from RNAcentral.
GAUGAACGCUGGCGGCGUGCUUAACACAUGCAAGUCGAACGGUGAAGCGGGAGCUUGCUCUUGUGGAUCAGUGGCGAACGGGUGAGUAACACGUGAGCAACCUGCCCCUGACUCUGGGAUAAGCGCUGGAAACGGCGUCUAAUACUGGAUAUGUGGUGUGACCGCAUGGUCUGCAUCUGGAAAGAAUUUCGGUGGGGGAUGGGCUCGCGGCCUAUCAGCUUGUUGGUGAGGUAAUGGCUCACCAAGGCGUCGACGGGUAGCCGGCCUGAGAGGGUGACCGGCCACACUGGGAAUGAGACACGGCCCAGACUCCUACGGGAGGCAGCAGUGGGGAAUAUUGCACAAUGGGCGGAAGCCUGAUGCAGCAACGCCGCGUGAGGGGUGACGGCCUUCGGGUUGUAAACCUCUUUUAGCAGGGAAGAAGCGAAAGUGACGGUACCUGCAGAAAAAGCACCGGCUAACUACGUGCCAGCCGCCGCCUGUAA